ACGAACGCUGGCGGCGUGCUUAACACCUGCAAGUCGAACGGAAAGGCCCUGCUUUUGUGGGGUGCUCGAGUGGCGAACGGGUGAGUAACACGUGAGUAACCUGCCCUUGACUUUGGGAUAACUUCAGGAAACUGGGGCUAAUACCGGAUAGGAGCUCCUGCUGCAUGGUGGGGGUUGGAAAGUUUCGGCGGUUGGGGAUGGACUCGCGGCUUAUCAGCUUGUUGGUGGGGUAGUGGCUUACCAAGGCUUUGACGGGUAGCCGGCCUGAGAGGGUGACCGGCCACAUUGGGACUGAGAUACGGCCCAGACUCCUACGGGAGGCAGCAGUGGGGAAUAUUGCACAAUGGGCGGAAGCCUGAUGCAGCAACGCCGCGUGCGGGAUGACGGCCUUCGGGUUGUAAACCGCUUUCGCCUGUGACGAAGCGUGAGUGACGGUAAUGGGUAAAGAAGCACCGGCCAACUACGUG
RNAcentral lists this ribosomal RNA (467 nucleotides) under uncultured bacterium. Its description in RNAcentral is "partial 16S ribosomal RNA". It matches the Rfam family "Bacterial small subunit ribosomal RNA", at positions 29 to 507 of the family's 1533-position model. The record is from RNAcentral.